This 431-nucleotide ribosomal RNA is filed under the name uncultured bacterium. RNAcentral's name for it is "partial 16S ribosomal RNA". It matches the Rfam family "Bacterial small subunit ribosomal RNA", at positions 29 to 507 of the family's 1533-position model. The record is from RNAcentral.
AACGAACGCUGGCGGCAGGCUUAACACAUGCAAGUCGAGCGCCCCGCAAGGGGAGCGGCAGACGGGUGAGUAACGCGUGGGAACGUACCUUUUGGUUCGGAACAACUCCGGGAAACUGGAGCUAAUACCGGAUAAGCCCUAACGGGGAAAGAUUUAUCGCCGAAAGAUCGGCCCGCGUCUGAUUAGCUAGUUGGUGAGGUAACGGCUCACCAAGGCGACGAUCAGUAGCUGGUCUGAGAGGAUGAUCAGCCACACUGGGACUGAGACACGGCCCAGACUCCUACGGGAGGCAGCAGUGGGGAAUAUUGGACAAUGGGCGCAAGCCUGAUCCAGCCAUGCCGCGUGAGUGAUGAAGGCCUUAGGGUUGUAAAGCUCUUUUGUCCGGGAAGAUAAUGACUGUACCGGAAGAAUAAGCCCCGGAUAACUUCGUG